Molecule: non-coding RNA, 99 nt
Organism: Peziza echinospora
Lineage: Eukaryota; Fungi; Ascomycota; Pezizomycetes; Pezizales; Pezizaceae
Source: the annotation of a GenBank genome assembly
UCCGUCAUGGUGUAGUGGCUAGCAUUUCAGACUCUCAUUGGCCUUUGUGAAAAGAUCAUGUGAUCUCUGAGAACCCGGGUUCAAUUCCCGGUGACGGAA